AAAAACUAUCGAGAAUAGAGCCUUUCUUUUAGGCAUAGAAGUCACAUUAAAAUGAUACCUUUCGGGUUAAGCGAUUGAAGAGUGGAAUCACAACUAUUGAAUCUUGUGCUUAAGCAAAGAGACAAUUUCCUUUUGAUAGUACAAACGAAAGUAAUAUUGACUUUUCAAGAAAUAUGCCCAAAAUAAGUGUUUAGUUAUAAAGCACCACCACCAAUUUAAUAUUGAGUUUACCCUCCCAUUGUGGGGAUUUCACGCAACCAAUAAAGGCAUGGGAGUCUUUAUGCAUUGCUUGGGCUGUGUUAAGUAAAGACUAGCUAGCAAUGCCCUCGCUUAGUGCCAUCCCGAAUCUAGCAGCAAACGUACAAACCGUACUUGAAUUCAGAUCAGACCAAGCUCUUCUUUGUUUGAGCUAUUCCCAUGCUUUUCAUUGGUUGUUAACCAGCGAAAGUGUUAUAUCCUUCUUUACUACUCUGACUUAGCUCUCCAUACACUUAUAGAUGUAUAGAUUCUCAAUAAGAGAGUAGCUGUGAAAAAAGAGGCAUUCAUCAGUGUAGGAAGGCCAAUUGAGCGAAUCUCUUUUUUUUUGGCCUUGCCAUGAAGGAAAAUUCUAUGGUAUGUUAGCUAGAGAGGUUGGAAUAUGGUAGAAGGAGUACAAAAAGCAAUCAAAAGAAUGCAGGCAUUGGUAAGCCGAAGAUCUUUUGUUCGACUCGGUGAGCCUUCACUUUUGGAAUGUCUUUUGCCCAAUGCAUUACCCCUAGUAGAAAUAGGUUUUUCUGUUGAUUGAUUUGCGUGCUUCUUAAGCCAAUAAGUUCUGUUCCUUGUAGGUGCAAUCCAUUCAAGCCUUUGAAUAUCUUGUAGAAAAGAAUGUUAUAAUUGGGAUGGGUGAACCCCCAUAGAUAUCAGGUGCCCACAUAUAUAGAGUCAAAAGAGAUAUUGAGUCCUGUCAAGAUGAUAGAUCCUGUUGUAGGUGUGACUCUUCUCCCGUGGCAGUACGGGAAUUGUUGAGAGCUCGAGCUCUCGUCCCAUCCAAUCUCCCAUUGGAUAGCUCGUCUCCUCGUCUUCUCUGUUUCUUAUCUCUCGGCAACAUAAUAUUCCUCCCGCUUCUGACCACUUGAAAUCCAUAAAAUAUUGAGCGUUGGAUUAAAUUAAAUUAAAUAUUACG
Molecule: long non-coding RNA, 1162 nt
Filed under: Olea europaea (common olive)
Lineage: Eukaryota; Viridiplantae; Streptophyta; Magnoliopsida; Lamiales; Oleaceae
Description: long non-coding RNA (OEUR_LNC014624)
Source: RNAcentral